UACGUAGGGUGCAAGCGUUAAUCGGAAUUACUGGGCGUAAAGCGUGCGCAGGCGGUUUUGUAAGCCAGAUGUGAAAUCCCCGGGCUUAACCUGGGAAUGGCAUUUGGGACUGCAAGGCUCGAGUGCGGCAGAGGAGACUGGAAUUCCAGGUGUAGCGGUGAAAUGCGUAGAUAUCUGGAGGAAUACCGGUGGCGGAAGGCGGCGAUC
RNAcentral lists this ribosomal RNA (207 nucleotides) under uncultured bacterium. RNAcentral's name for it is "partial 16S ribosomal RNA". It matches the Rfam family "Bacterial small subunit ribosomal RNA", at positions 524 to 729 of the family's 1533-position model. The record is from RNAcentral.